RNAcentral lists this ribosomal RNA (459 nucleotides) under uncultured bacterium. RNAcentral's name for it is "partial 16S ribosomal RNA". It matches the Rfam family "Bacterial small subunit ribosomal RNA", at positions 338 to 795 of the family's 1533-position model. The record is from RNAcentral.
CCUACGGGUGGCAGCAGUGAGGAAUAUUGGUCAAUGGCCGUAAGGCUGAACCAGCCAAGUCGCGUGAAGGAAGAAGGAUCUAUGGUUUGUAAACUUCUUUUAUAGGGGAAUAAAGGUAUCCACGUGUGGAUAUUUGCAUGUACCCUAUGAAUAAGCAUCGGCUAACUCCGUGCCAGCAGCCGCGGUAAUACGGAGGAUGCGAGCGUUAUCCGGAUUUAUUGGGUUUAAAGGGUGCGUAGGCGGUCCGGAAAGUCAGCGGUAAAAGCCCGGGGCUCAACCCCGGCGAGCCGUUGAAACUGUCGGACUAGAGACGGCGAGAAGUACGCGGAAUGCGCGGUGUAGCGGUGAAAUGUAUAGAUAUCGCGCAGAACUCCGAUUGCGAAGGCAGCGUACCGGCGCCGGACUGACGCUGAGGCACGAAAGCGUGGGUAUCGAACAGGAUUAGAUACCCGAGUAGUC